CUGGUUGACAGUGGUAGCUCACACAGUUUCGUCAGUUCAGCCCUAGCGGCGCGUCUGCAAGGGGUGGUGCAAGCUGUUCGGCCGCUGUCAGUUAAAAUUGCAGAUGGUGGUGAGAUGCGCUGCACACAAGAGCUGCUCAAAGGGGAAUGGACUGUUCAUGGGCACAAAUUCUGUUCUCGGUUGAAAGUGUUGUCGCUCGGAUGCUAUGAUAUGAUCGUGGGAAUGGACUGGUUGGAGGCACAUAGUCCCAUGGAUGUGCAUUGGGCACACAAGGAGCUCUCCUUUUCACAUCAUGGCAGGACGAUUCAGCUAAAAGGGGUUCAGCCUAAGCUCUCGGAUUGUUUUCAGAUCACCAGCCAUCAGUUGCAGGCUAUGCUGGAAGAGAAUGCGGUUCACUACAUAGUCCAACUUUGCACAGUUGAUGGGAGUGCUACUCAGGAUGCCUUACCAGCUAGCAUUGAGAAUCUGUUGGCUCGUUUUGCUCAUCUCUUUGAGGAACCCAAGGGACUGCCACCACAUCGAGAGUUCGACCAUGCAAUUCCAUUGAUUCCAGGCGCUCAACCAGUUAAUCUCCGGCCUUAUCGCUACAGCCCCCAGCAAAAAGAUGAGAUUGAAGCACAGGUUGCCGAAAUGUUAAAACAAGGGAUCAUCCAGCCUAGUUAUAGUCCCUAUGCUUCGCCGGUUCUCUUAGUCCAGAAGAAGGACAGAACAUGGAGAUUUUGCGUGGAUUACAGACACCUCAAUGCUAUUACGGUCAAGAACCGCUACCCUCUGCCCAUCAUUGAAGAACUCUUGGACGAACUAGCGGGCUCUUGUUGGUUCACGAGCUUGGACUUGAGAGCUGGAUAUCAUCAGAUCCGAAUGGUGCCGGAGGAUGAGCACAAAACUGCAUUCAAAACUCAUCAUGGCCACUUUCAGUUCAAAGUGAUGCCCUAUGGUGUUACCGGAGGCCCUAGCACUUUCCAAGGGGGUGUGAACACUGUUCUUGCUCCACUGCUGCGCAAAGGGGUGCUCGCGUUCAUUGAUGACAUCCUGGUACAUAGCAGCACCUUGGAGGAGCAUGUUAAGCUGCCGCGACAAGUGUUUGAAUUGUUGGAUAAAUACAAACUUCACAUUAAGCGCAGCAAGUGCAGUUUUGCUCAGAAACAGCUGACUUAUUUGGGACAUGUGAUCAGCGAGCAAGGAGUAGCAACAGACAACAAGAACAUUGCUGCAGUGCAAAGGUGGAAGACUCCUACCUAUGUGAAGGAAGUACGGGGAUUCUUGGGGCUUGCAGGUUAUUACCGGCGUUUCGUCCGGAACUUUGGAGUGAUCAGCCGGCCGCUCACGAACCUGUUGAAGAAGAAUGCGGUGUUUGUGUGGAGCCAAGAGGCCGAUGCAGCCUUCCAUCACCUGAAGCAGUCACUGAUCACGGCGCCGGUGCUAGCCUUGCCCUGCUUUGACACCCCGUUUGAGAUUGAGACGGAUGCUUCUGACAAAGGGAUUGGGGUUGUGCUUAUGCAGGCCGGGCACCCUAUAGCAUUCCUCAGUCGGGCGUUGGGGCCUCGCAACCAAGGUCUCUCUACCUAUGAGAAGGAGUUCAUGGCAGUUCUUCUUGCAGUGGAGCGCUGGAGGCCGUACUUGCAAGGGAAUGAGUUCACCAUACGCACGGAUCAGCGCAGUUUGGCCAACCUGGGUGACCAACGAUUGUCCACACCUUGGCAGAAGAAGGCGCUGACCAAGUUAAUGGAGCUACGUUAUAAGAUUGUGUAUCGCAAAGGCGUGGAGAAUCGCGCGGCGGACGCCUUGUCCCGUGCUGAUCAUGGUGACUUGUUGGCCCUCUCGGUCGCUCAACCAACUUGGCUGGAGGAUGUUGUUCGGGAUAUCACGGUG
RNAcentral lists this ribosomal RNA (1872 nucleotides) under Triticum aestivum (bread wheat). RNAcentral's name for it is "partial small subunit ribosomal RNA". Lineage: Eukaryota; Viridiplantae; Streptophyta; Magnoliopsida; Poales; Poaceae. The record is from RNAcentral.